RNAcentral lists this ribosomal RNA (253 nucleotides) under uncultured bacterium. Its description in RNAcentral is "partial 16S ribosomal RNA". It matches the Rfam family "Bacterial small subunit ribosomal RNA", at positions 524 to 776 of the family's 1533-position model. The record is from RNAcentral.
UACGGAGGGUGCAAGCGUUAUCCGGAUGUACUGGGUUUAAAGGGUGUGUAGGCGGACUUUUAAGUCCGUGGUGAAAUCUCCGGGCUCAACCCGGAAACUGCCAUGGAUACUAUUGGUCUUGAAUGUUGUUGAGGUGGGCGGAACGGGUCAUGUAGCGGUGAAAUGCAUAGAUAUGACCCGGAACACCGAUUGCGAAGGCAGCCCACUAAGCAAUGAUUGACGCUGAGGCACGAAAGCGUGGGGAUCAAACAGG